AUCUCUUGGUUCCAGCAUCGAUGAAGAACGCAGCGAAAUGCGAUAAGUAAUGUGAAUUGCAGAAUUCAGUGAAUCAUCGAAUCUUUGAACGCACAUUGCGCCCCCUGGUCUUCCGGGGGGCAUGCCUGUUCGAGCGUCAUU
This 141-nucleotide ribosomal RNA is filed under the name Parmelia subdivaricata. Its description in RNAcentral is "5.8S ribosomal RNA". It matches the Rfam family "5.8S ribosomal RNA". Rfam says of the family: 5.8S ribosomal RNA (5.8S rRNA) is a component of the large subunit of the eukaryotic ribosome. The record is from RNAcentral. Lineage: Eukaryota; Fungi; Ascomycota; Lecanoromycetes; Lecanorales; Parmeliaceae.